GAUGAACGCUAGCGACAGGCUUAACACAUGCAAGUCGAGGGGCAGCGGGGUGUGGCAACACACUGCCGGCGACCGGCGCACGGGUGAGUAACGCGUAUGCAACUUGCCUAUCAGAGGGGGAUAACCCGGCGAAAGUCGGACUAAUACCGCAUAAACAAGGGGUUCCGCAUGGGGAUAUUUGUUAAAGAUUCAUCGCUGAUAGAUAGGCAUGCGUUCCAUUAGGCAGUUGGCGGGGUAACGGCCCACCAAACCGACGAUGGAUAGGGGUUCUGAGAGGAAGGUCCCCCACAUUGGUACUCAGACACGUACCAAACUCCGACGGGAGGCAGCAGUGAGGAAUAUUGGUCCAUUGCCGGGAGGCUGAACCAGCCAAGUCGCGUGAAGGAUGAAGGUUCUAUGGAUUGUAAACUUCUUUUGUGCGGGAAUAAAGUCGGGGAUGCGUCCCCGUUUGCAUGUACCGUACGAAUAAGCAUCGGCUAACUCCGUGCCAGCCGCCGCUGUAA
This 503-nucleotide ribosomal RNA is filed under the name uncultured bacterium. Its description in RNAcentral is "partial 16S ribosomal RNA". It matches the Rfam family "Bacterial small subunit ribosomal RNA", at positions 28 to 523 of the family's 1533-position model. The record is from RNAcentral.